AGGUGGUAUCUCUUUGAAGAACAAGGGAAAGCCUAGGAGAGGCUGAAAUGCGAGGAAAGCUGAGAAACAUGACAGGAGACAUUAGUCCGUUCUUGGAGGGGCCUGGGAGAGAGGAAUCAUCCUGGCCCUGGGCCUGUGGGAGCAUCAGAAGCCAAGGGGCACAGAGUGAGGCUCAAGGGAUGUGUGCAGUCUGGAAAGUAAAGGCUCCUUCAUAUUUUAGGAUGACAUUCUCUUACCUCAAUCAUUGUGAAGCCUAAUUCCAAAAACACUCCGACUCUGGUGGAAUUAACUCCCUGAAAGACACAGAGCCUGUGAAGCAGCCUGAUAGAGAUUCAGGCCCCAAUGCCUGCAGUGGAGAGAGGGGUGGUGCUGGAAGGAGAGACUUGGGGGAAAACCUGAAAGGAGGGCCGAGAAGGGUUCAGAGAGUGCACCAUGGGGACUCGCAAAAGGACAAAGAAAAGCAGGCCCCCAGCUUGACACUUGGAAGUAGAGGUGGAAUCUUCCAUCCUGGUAUCCAGGCUCUUCCUGUGGAUUUGCUUCCUGCUCCGGAUUCCAGUGGGCAUCCUGUGUCCCAUAAACUGUCAAAGGCCGUGUCCAGGGGAGGCUAGAAGGGAGAAUUUCACAACUAGCAGAGUCUGCCUUUGAUGUUGCCACUUGGGCCCCGGAGCUCCCCCUCUACCAAUCAACCAUUUGGGAAGUAAAGGGGCCUUUCCCCUCCCAGCUCCAUGGGGGAGGGAGGGCUGCUAGGCCUAGCUCAGAAGUGGCCUUGAUUUCCUGUUGGGUGCAGUGAGGGCACAGCUGCAGGGCCAGACUGAGGCCACAUCACAGGCACAGACCCAGGCCUGAGCCCGGGCCCAGGCUAAGAGGGAAUGAGGGUGUGGGUGGCUGGAUCCCUUGCUCAGCCACAUACACACCUAUGAUGCAACCACGCCCCUGGGAGCUGCACUCUCCAGAGCAAAGGCAUCAAGUCUGCUUACUCUGAGAACUGGGUCACCUCUGCAUCUUUCCUGGGCAGGAUUCCAGGCCCAGCCAGCCACACUGUCACCUGGGAAGGAAGAGGGGAGCAAGGUGGACAGAGAGGGAAAAUGUUGGAGGUAGACAACACAGAUCUACUGGGUGAGCCUCUCUUCCCCUGCUGUGAGUGAAGCAAAUGCAUGUGCUAGCAGGCUGGCCAGCCCAGUGCCCAUCUGUGCACACUUGAUCUGGCACACGUGAGCUGUGAUGACCCUCUUACCCUGGUGUGGCUGCCAGCUCAGGCAGGGUCCACUGAGGCCCCUGGCCCUGCCCUGCCUGGGAGGCCCUGCCCUCCAUCCAGAGAGGAGGGAACAAGAAGAAGAGGGAAAAUGUGUGUAAAUUUCCCAUCCGGUUUCGGGAGCCCCCUCCCCCUUCUGUCUCUGGAACGCAGAGAUAGGCAGUCAUGGGGUCCCUUUGAGGUCUGCAGCAGGCUUGCCCACUACAAGAUGUACCCCCUGACUCUAGCCACCUUGAGGCAGCCCCUGUCUGCAACCAGCUCAAGGAUGUUUGCCAAACAUUGUAACCAGUGUCCCGCCACAUGCCCCUGAACAGAGAAUCGUACUGUGAGACCUUUUCCCGGAUUUUGCAACCCAAGUGCACACGCCCACACCCACUCUCACACCUCCAACCAAGCAUUUCCAAGAAGAAUGCUGUCCACAGAGUAAAGCCAUCUGAGGACCUCUUUGCUCUUCUGUUUCAUUUCUGAAAUUCCUACCUAGUGACCUAGAAUAUCUAGUCGGAACAGUGGCAUAUUGGCCCUAGCUUCUCAUUGAGAGGUGAUCCUUGAAUGGCCAAAUAGCCUGUUGCUUGGCACAAGUGACUUAUUGUCUAGCUGGUUUCAGCCGAUCGCUUCGGGAAUACCUUGAAGAUACUGCAGGUUUGGUUUCAGACUUUUGCAACAAAGUGAAUAUUGCAACAAGGCAAGUCGCACAAAUUUUUUGGUUUCCCAGUGUAUAUAAAAAUUAUGUUUCCACUAUACUGCAGUCUAUUAAGUAUGCAAUAGCAUUGUGUCUAAAAAGUAAUGUACAUACCUUAUUUUAAAAAUACUCUAGGCUCACACAGGCACCUCUUGUUUGUGUGGCCCACUGUUCUCUGUUGUCUAUGGUAGCGUAACCUAAUAAAUUCCUUUUCUAUUCUCAAAACAAAACAAAACACACAACUCUAUUGCUCCUCAUCUGAGCCUUCAGCAAGUCCUAAUCUUUUUGCAAUAGUUAACAUUAAAAAAUCACAGAUGACCAAAACAAAUAUAAUUUUAAAAAUGAAAAAAAAUUGAAAUACUACUAGAAUUACCAAAAUGUAACACAGAAACACAAAGUAAGCAGAGUUCCCUGGAAAAAUGACACCAAUAACUUGUUCAAUGAAAGGUUGCUGCAAACCUUCAACUAGUAAAAAAUGCAGUAUCUGUGAAAUGCAAUAAAGCGUAGCAGAGUGAAACAA
Non-coding RNA from Vicugna pacos (alpaca), 2451 nucleotides. The record is from RefSeq and is a predicted model, not a curated record. Lineage: Eukaryota; Metazoa; Chordata; Mammalia; Artiodactyla; Camelidae.